Molecule: ribosomal RNA, 497 nt
Filed under: uncultured bacterium
Lineage: Bacteria
Description: partial 16S ribosomal RNA
Rfam family: Bacterial small subunit ribosomal RNA
Source: RNAcentral
GAUGAGCGCUGGCGGCGUGCCUAAUACAUGCAAGUCGAGCGAACAGACGAGGAGCUUGCUCCUCUGACGUUAGCGGCGGACGGGUGAGUAACACGUGGAUAACCUACCUAUAAGACUGGGAUAACUUCGGGAAACCGGAGCUAAUACCGGAUAAUAUAUUGAACCGCAUGGUUCAAUAGUGAAAGACGGUUUUGCUGUCACUUAUAGAUGGAUCCGCGCCGCAUUAGCUAGUUGGUAAGGUAACGGCUUACCAAGGCAACGAUGCGUAGCCGACCUGAGAGGGCGAUCGGCCACACUGGAACUGAGACACGGUCCAGACUCCUACGGGAGGCAGCAGUAGGGAAUCUUCCGCAAUGGGCGAAAGCCUGACGGAGCAACGCCGCGUGAGUGAUGAAGGUCUUCGGAUCGUAAAACUCUGUUAUUAGGGAAGAACAAAUGUGUAAGUAACUAUGCACGUCUUGACGGUACCUAAUCAGAAAGCCACGGCUAACUACGUG